Molecule: long non-coding RNA, 635 nt
Filed under: Homo sapiens (human)
Lineage: Eukaryota; Metazoa; Chordata; Mammalia; Primates; Hominidae
Description: HSALNT0352804
Source: RNAcentral
CCGCUUCUCUCUCUCUCUCUCUUUCCUGCUCCGCCGCGGUGAGACGUACUUGCUUCUCCUCACCUUCUACCGUGAUUCUGGACUAGACAGAAGACUACAGUUCAAUAAGAAGGAAACACAUUCAUUUUCAGUAUUGUUAAUAAAGAAGCUUACCUAAAAGAAGGAAAUCAAAACAAGAUAAUCUACACUGCAACUAGGGGAGGCUAUUGAAUGUGAUGGUCCCCUCAGAUGCCUAGAGGAAGAUGAACAAUGGUAAUCAGAUAUCCUAAAGUUAUCUUUAGGGCACUGGCAAAAUAGCAGCAAUGCCUGGUGGAAGCUGACUUUGUGCAUACACAUGAGAGCCCACAGAAAACUUCAAACUUCAUGGAAAUAAAACCUUCAGCUGCAGCUAAGAAUUUGGAGGUUACUGAAGGAGGUUACUUUUUCAAGAGCAGAAGUAAGGAUUCCACUGAAUUUGCUCACCAAAGAUAAGUCAGCAAAGAAAACUUACUGAAGAAUACAGACAGCAUAUCAGCUCCUGCUUUCCAGACAAACUUCCUGGGUCUUGGGAAGAAGAAAGCCUCAGACUAAGAACUCUCUCUGGACUCAGACAGCCUGAAUUCAAAUCCCAUCUCUAUUCUUACUAGUCAUAUGAA